UAAGGAAUAUUGGACAAUGGAGGCAACUCUGAUCCAGCCAUGCCGCGUGAAGGAAUAAGGCCCUAUGGGUUGUAAACUUCUUUUAGACGGGACAAAACCCCUUUACGUGUAAAGGGUUGAUGGUACUGUCAGAAUAAGCAUCGGCUAACUUCGUGCCAGCAGCCGCGGUAAUACGAAGGAUGCAAGCGUUAUCCGGAAUUAUUGGGUUUAAAGGGUGCGUAGGCGGACUAAUAAGUCGGUGGCGAAAGCCUGCAGCUUAACUGCAGAAUUGCCAUUGAUACUGUUAGUCUUUAGUACAGUUGAGGUAGGCGGAAUGUGUCAAGUAGCGGUGAAAUGCUUAGAUAUGACACAGAACACCGAGUACGAAGGCAGCUUGCUAAGCUGUAACUGACGCUGAGGCACGAAAGCGUGGGGAGCAAA
RNAcentral lists this ribosomal RNA (420 nucleotides) under uncultured bacterium. RNAcentral describes it as "bacterial SSU rRNA". It matches the Rfam family "Bacterial small subunit ribosomal RNA", at positions 355 to 772 of the family's 1533-position model. The record is from RNAcentral.